AGGGCACCACCAGGAGUGGAGCCUGCGGCUUAAUUUGACUCAACACGGGAAAACUCACCCGGCCCGGACACUGGAAGGAUUGACAGAUUGAGAGCUCUUUCUUGAUUCAGUGGGUGGUGGUGCAUGGCCGUUCUUAGUUGGUGGAGUGAUUUGUCUGGUUAAUUCCGAUAACGAACGAGACUCUAGCCUACUAAAUAGCCUGCCUGGCUUACAAACGCCGGCAAGACUUCUUAGAGGGACAGGCGGUGAUUCAACCGCACGAAACAGAGCAAUAACAGGUCUGUGAUGCCCUUAGAUGUCCGGGGCCGCACGCGCGCUACACUGAAGUGAUCAGCGUGCCUAUUCAGCCUACUCUGUCAAGAGUGGGAAACCCAAUGAACCUUCUUCGUGAUUGGGAUAGGGGAUUGUAAUUAUUCCCCUUGAACGAGGAAUUCCCAGUAAGCGCGAGUCAUAAGCUCGCGUUGAUUACGUCCCUGCCCUUUGUACACACCGCCCGUCGCUACUACCGAUUGAAUGUUU
This 519-nucleotide ribosomal RNA is filed under the name uncultured eukaryote. RNAcentral describes it as "SSU rRNA". It matches the Rfam family "Eukaryotic small subunit ribosomal RNA", at positions 1161 to 1698 of the family's 1831-position model. The record is from RNAcentral.